This 484-nucleotide ribosomal RNA is filed under the name uncultured bacterium. RNAcentral's name for it is "partial 16S ribosomal RNA". It matches the Rfam family "Bacterial small subunit ribosomal RNA", at positions 30 to 507 of the family's 1533-position model. The record is from RNAcentral.
AUUGAACGCUGGCGGCAUGCCUAACACAUGCAAGUCGAGCGGCAGAAGGGGGCUUGCCCCUUGGUGCCGAGGGGGGCAGGUGAGUGAAGUAUAGGGAAAUGCGUGCUAGUGUGGGGUAACGCCCGGAGAAGGGCGCUAUUAUAGCACACAUGCUGAGGGGGAAAGAGGGGGGGCCUCUGACCUCUCGCGCUAUGAGGAUGCUAGGUCGGAUUAGCUAGUUGGUGGGGUAAAGGCCUACCAAGGCGACGAUCCGUAACUGGUCUGAGAGGAUGAGCAGCCACACUGGAACUGAGACACGGUCCAGACUCCUACGGGAGGCAGCAGUGGGGAAUAUUGGACAAUGGGCGAAAGCCUGAUCCAGCCAUGCCGCGUGUGUGAAGAAGGUCUUCGGGUUGUAAAGCACUUUUAGUUGGGAGGAAGGGCAGGACGUUAAUACCUUGCUGUUUUGACGUUACCAGCAGAAUAAGCACCGGCUAACUUCGUG